GGUCUUAUCAAUUCUGGAGGAGAAGGGGGGGAAGACACAAGUGGGGUAGACUGUCGCUGGCCCCUCGGGGCAUGUGCACGUCUUCCUUCUGUGUCGACCUUUCUCUUUCUCUCUCACACACCUGUGCACCCAUUGUAGGUCCUCGCAAGAGGAUCUAUGUUUUUCAUAUCACACCCAUCGUAUGUCUAUAGAAUGUAUUGAAAAACGUCGACCUGUCUCACAGGCCUGGCGCUCAAUAAAUCCAUACAACUUUCAGCAACGGAUCUCUUGGCUCUCGCAUCGAUGAAGAACGCAGCGAAUUGCGAUAAGUAAUGUGAAUUGCAGAUUUUCAGUGAAUCAUCGAAUCUUUGAACGCACCUUGCGCUCCUUGGUAUUCCGAGGAGCAUGCCUGUUUGAGUGUCAUCGAAUUCUCAACCAUGUCUUGAUUGAUUUCAAGCCAUGGCUUGGACUUGGGGGCUUGCUGGCGGCGAUCAGCUGUCAGCUCUCCUGAAAUGCAUUAGCAAAGGAUUGGGCAAGUCUUUGACGUGCACGGCCUUCGACGUGAUAAUGAUCGUCGUGGCUGGAGCGUAAGGCGUGCAUGAAUGGUCCUGUGCUUCUAAUCUAUCCUAGCCUCUGGUCGCCUUUUAGCUACUAGUCGGUCGUGAGGCCUGACGAACGUUUGGAGUG
RNAcentral lists this ribosomal RNA (666 nucleotides) under Suillellus queletii. RNAcentral's name for it is "eukaryotic LSU rRNA". The stretch from base 248 to 402 matches the Rfam family "5.8S ribosomal RNA". The record is from RNAcentral. Lineage: Eukaryota; Fungi; Basidiomycota; Agaricomycetes; Boletales; Boletaceae.